AAUACUCCACAUGAUGGUAGAAGACAUGAGGGCGGGUAUGACAGCGGG
Molecule: non-coding RNA, 48 nt
Filed under: Plasmodium falciparum 3D7
Lineage: Eukaryota; Apicomplexa; Aconoidasida; Haemosporida; Plasmodiidae
Source: RNAcentral